AUUGAACGCUGGCGGCAGGCCUAACACAUGCAGGUCGAGCGGAUGAAGGGAGCUUGCUCCUGGAUUCAGCGGCGGACGGGUGAGUAAUGCCUAGGAAUCUGCCUGGUAGUGGGGGAUAACGUCCGGAAACGGGCGCUAAUACCGCAUACGUCCUGAGGGAGAAAGUGGGGGAUCUUCGGACCUCACGCUAUCAGAUGAGCCUAGGUCGGAUUAGCUAGUUGGUGGGGUAAAGGCCUACCAAGGCGACGAUCCGUAACUGGUCUGAGAGGAUGAUCAGUCACACUGGAACUGAGACACGGUCCAGACUCCUACGGGAGGCAGCAGUGGGGAAUAUUGGACAAUGGGCGAAAGCCUGAUCCAGCCAUGCCGCGUGUGUGAAGAAGGUCUUCGGAUUGUAAAGCACUUUAAGUUGUGAGGAAGGGCAGUAAGUUAAUACCUUGCUGUUUUGACGUUACCAACAGAAUAAGCACCGGCUAACUUCGUG
RNAcentral lists this ribosomal RNA (484 nucleotides) under uncultured bacterium. Its description in RNAcentral is "partial 16S ribosomal RNA". It matches the Rfam family "Bacterial small subunit ribosomal RNA", at positions 30 to 507 of the family's 1533-position model. The record is from RNAcentral.